Molecule: ribosomal RNA, 748 nt
Filed under: Lactiplantibacillus plantarum
Lineage: Bacteria; Bacillati; Bacillota; Bacilli; Lactobacillales; Lactobacillaceae
Description: bacterial SSU rRNA
Rfam family: Bacterial small subunit ribosomal RNA
Source: RNAcentral
ACAUUUGAGUGAGUGGCGAACUGGUGAGUAACACGUGGGAAACCUGCCCAGAAGCGGGGGAUAACACCUGGAAACAGAUGCUAAUACCGCAUAACAACUUGGACCGCAUGGUCCGAGCUUGAAAGAUGGCUUCGGCUAUCACUUUUGGAUGGUCCCGCGGCGUAUUAGCUAGAUGGUGGGGUAACGGCUCACCAUGGCAAUGAUACGUAGCCGACCUGAGAGGGUAAUCGGCCACAUUGGGACUGAGACACGGCCCAAACUCCUACGGGAGGCAGCAGUAGGGAAUCUUCCACAAUGGACGAAAGUCUGAUGGAGCAACGCCGCGUGAGUGAAGAAGGGUUUCGGCUCGUAAAACUCUGUUGUUAAAGAAGAACAUAUCUGAGAGUAACUGUUCAGGUAUUGACGGUAUUUAACCAGAAAGCCACGGCUAACUACGUGCCAGCAGCCGCGGUAAUACGUAGGUGGCAAGCGUUGUCCGGAUUUAUUGGGCGUAAAGCGAGCGCAGGCGGUUUUUUAAGUCUGAUGUGAAAGCCUUCGGCUCAACCGAAGAAGUGCAUCGGAAACUGGGAAACUUGAGUGCAGAAGAGGACAGUGGAACUCCAUGUGUAGCGGUGAAAUGCGUAGAUAUAUGGAAGAACACCAGUGGCGAAGGCGGCUGUCUGGUCUGUAACUGACGCUGAGGCUCGAAAGUAUGGGUAGCAAACAGGAUUAGAUACCCUGGUAGUCCAUACCGUAAACGAUGAAUGCU